GGGACACGUGGUAUCCUGUCUGAAUAUGGGGGGACCAUCCUCCAAGGCUAAAUACUCCUGACUGACCGAUAGUGAACCAGUACCGUGAGGGAAAGGCGAAAAGAACCCCGGCGAGGGGAGUGAAAAAGAACCUGAAACCGUGUACGUACAAGCAGUGGGAGCACGCUUAGGCGUGUGACUGCGUACCUUUUGUAUAAUGGGUCAGCGACUUAUAUUCUGUAGCAAGGUUAACCGAAUAGGGGAGCCGAAGGGAAACCGAGUCUUAACUGGGCGUUAAGUUGCAGGGUAUAGACCCGAAACCCGGUGAUCUAGCCAUGGGCAGGUUGAAGGUUGGGUAACACUAACUGGAGGACCGAACCGACUAAUGUUGAAAAAUUAGCGGAUGACUUGUGGCUGGGGGUGAAAGGCCAAUCAAACCGGGAGAUAGCUGGUUCUCCCCGAAAGCUAUUUAGGUAGCGCCUCGUGAAUUCAUCUCCGGGGGUAGAGCACUGUUUCGGCAAGGGGGUCAUCCCGACUUACCAACCCGAUGCAAACUGCGAAUACCGGAGAAUGUUAUCACGGGAGACACACGGCGGGUGCUAACGUCCGUCGUGAAGAGGGAAACAACCCAGACCGCCAGCUAAGGUCCCAAAGUCAUGGUUAAGUGGGAAACGAUGUGGGAAGGCCCAGACAGCCAGGAUGUUGGCUUAGAAGCAGCCAUCAUUUAAAGAAAGCGUAAUAGCUCACUGGUCGAGUCGGCCUGCGCGGAAGAUGUAACGGGGCUAAACCAUGCACCGAAGCUGCGGCAGCGACACUAUGUGUUGUUGGGUAGGGGAGCGUUCUGUAAGCCUGUGAAGGUGUGCUGUGAGGCAUGCUGGAGGUAUCAGAAGUGCGAAUGCUGACAUAAGUAACGAUAAAGCGGGUGAAAAGCCCGCUCGCCGGAAGACCAAGGGUUCCUGUCCAACGUUAAUCGGGGCAGGGUGAGUCGACCCCUAAGGCGAGGCCGAAAGGCGUAGUCGAUGGGAAACAGGUUAAUAUUCCUGUACUUGGUGUUACUGCGAAGGGGGGACGGAGAAGGCUAUGUUGGCCGGGCGACGGUUGUCCCGGUUUAAGCGUGUAGGCUGGUUUUCCAGGCAAAUCCGGAAAAUCAAGGCUGAGGCGUGAUGACGAGGCACUACGGUGCUGAAGCAACAAAUGCCCUGCUUCCAGGAAAAGCCUCUAAGCAUCAGGUAACAUCAAAUCGUACCCCAAACCGACACAGGUGGUCAGGUAGAGAAUACCAAGGCGCUUGAGAGAACUCGGGUGAAGGAACUAGGCAAAAUGGUGCCGUAACUUCGGGAGAAGGCACGCUGAUAUGUAGGUGAAGUCCCUCGCGGAUGGAGCUGAAAUCAGUCGAAGAUACCAGCUGGCUGCAACUGUUUAUUAAAAACACAGCACUGUGCAAACACGAAAGUGGACGUAUACGGUGUGACGCCUGCCCGGUGCCGGAAGGUUAAUUGAUGGGGUUAGCCGCAAGGCGAAGCUCUUGAUCGAAGCCCCGGUAAACGGCGGCCGUAACUAUAACGGUCCUAAGGUAGCGAAAUUCCUUGUCGGGUAAGUUCCGACCUGCACGAAUGGCGUAAUGAUGGCCAGGCUGUCUCCACCCGAGACUCAGUGAAAUUGAACUCGCUGUGAAGAUGCAGUGUACCCGCGGCAAGACGGAAAGACCCCGUGAACCUUUACUAUAGCUUGACACUGAACAUUGAGCCUUGAUGUGUAGGAUAGGUGGGAGGCUUAGAAGUGUGGACGCCAGUCUGCAUGGAGCCGACCUUGAAAUACCACCCUUUAAUGUUUGAUGUUCUAACGUUGACCCGUAAUCCGGGUUGCGGACAGUGUCUGGUGGGUAGUUUGACUGGGGCGGUCUCCUCCUAAAGAGUAACGGAGGAGCACGAAGGUUGGCUAAUCCUGGUCGGACAUCAGGAGGUUAGUGCAAUGGCAUAAGCCAGCUUGACUGCGAGCGUGACGGCGCGAGCAGGUGCGAAAGCAGGUCAUAGUGAUCCGGUGGUUCUGAAUGGAAGGGCCAUCGCUCAACGGAUAAAAGGUACUCCGGGGAUAACAGGCUGAUACCGCCCAAGAGUUCAUAUCGACGGCGGUGUUUGGCACCUCGAUGUCGGCUCAUCACAUCCUGGGGCUGAAGUAGGUCCCAAGGGUAUGGCUGUUCGCCAUUUAAAGUGGUACGCGAGCUGGGUUUAGAACGUCGUGAGACAGUUCGGUCCCUAUCUGCCGUGGGCGCUGGAGAACUGAGGGGGGCUGCUCCUAGUACGAGAGGACCGGAGUGGACGCAUCACUGGUGUUCGGGUUGUCAUGCCAAUGGCACUGCCCGGUAGCUAAAUGCGGAAGAGAUAAGUGCUGAAAGCAUCUAAGCACGAAACUUGCCCCGAGAUGAGUUCUCCC
This 2412-nucleotide ribosomal RNA is filed under the name Escherichia coli. Its description in RNAcentral is "partial 23S ribosomal RNA". It matches the Rfam family "Bacterial large subunit ribosomal RNA", at positions 419 to 2815 of the family's 2925-position model. The record is from RNAcentral. Lineage: Bacteria; Pseudomonadati; Pseudomonadota; Gammaproteobacteria; Enterobacterales; Enterobacteriaceae.